ACGAACGCUGGCGGCGUGCCUAAUACAUGCAAGUCGAGCGAGCGGAACUAACAGAUUUACUUCGGUAAUGACGUUAGGAAAGCGAGCGGCGGAUGGGUGAGUAACACGUGGGGAACCUGCCCCAUAGUCUGGGAUACCACUUGGAAACAGGUGCUAAUACCGGAUAAGAAAGCAGAUCGCAUGAUCAGCUUUUAAAAGGCGGCGUAAGCUGUCGCUAUGGGAUGGCCCCGCGGUGCAUUAGCUAGUUGGUAAGGUAAAGGCUUACCAAGGCGAUGAUGCAUAGCCGAGUUGAGAGACUGAUCGGCCACAUUGGGACUGAGACACGGCCCAAACUCCUACGGGAGGCAGCAGUAGGGAAUCUUCCACAAUGGACGCAAGUCUGAUGGAGCAACGCCGCGUGAGUGAAGAAGGUUUUCGGAUCGUAAAGCUCUGUUGUUGGUGAAGAAGGAUAGAGGUAGUAACUGGCCUUUAUUUGACGGUAAUCAACCAGAAAGUCACGGCUAACUACGUGCCAGCAGCCG
This 521-nucleotide ribosomal RNA is filed under the name Lactobacillus crispatus. RNAcentral describes it as "bacterial SSU rRNA". It matches the Rfam family "Bacterial small subunit ribosomal RNA", at positions 29 to 517 of the family's 1533-position model. The record is from RNAcentral. Lineage: Bacteria; Bacillati; Bacillota; Bacilli; Lactobacillales; Lactobacillaceae.